This is a long non-coding RNA of Musca domestica (house fly), 2056 nucleotides long. RefSeq lists it as uncharacterized. The record is from RefSeq and is a predicted model, not a curated record. NCBI's taxonomy places the organism in Eukaryota, Metazoa, Arthropoda, Insecta, Diptera, Muscidae. The transcript is spliced from 3 exons.
CGAAAAUCAAAGCGAACGAAAACGUAAGCAUUUCUGUGUAAUUUUGCGUUCCACUAUCUUUUUUCUUUCGUACGCAUGCGAACACAAAUGUCAAAAUCAGUCACUUGUGUGUUUGCUAUCGUAUAAUAACAAUUAAGGAAAAUUGUUUUAACAUAAACAUUGCUUGAUUGAAAAUGGAAACAAAAAUCACGAAAAAAUCAUCAACUACACAGCUGCGGGCACUAGUAUAUGGAGGAGAAUCCUGUGUUCGCCAGAGGAGUGCCAUUUUUGGAAGCAGCAGAAGAAGUUUUAAAUCGGGGCGGAUUUGGGUAGUUCUGCAACCGGGCACCCACUUCUCUUCCAUCAUAUCCAAAAGAGCCCGAAAACUUCCUUCGACACACGAAAAUUGGCCACAAACCUUGAAAAAAUUAUUAUUAUUUUUUAUUAUUUCAAAAAUGUAAAAAUACAAUCAUACUUACUGGUUGUUAGGUACUUCAAAUAAAUUCGAAUCAUCUCUUAAAUGCCUCCGUGGCACAUUUUGAACCUCCUCCACAUCAUCCAUAAAAAAUAGGGCUACGGAAAUAUUCUUUUUUUUAUUUUCUAAGAGCACAAAUAGUUUGAACACAAUCACUAGAGUUUUUAUUUUGUUUGUUUAUUUACAAUUUGUUUGUUUACAACUGAAAUGUCAGUUGAGACAGAGCCACUGCUGCUUUUUCGCGUUUAAAUUAGACAUUUGGCGCUUUUUUGCCUUAUUUCGCGAUUAAUUUUUCCAAAAAAAUAUUUAGCAACACUGAAUCACGUAAGGCUAUGCGAAAGAAAGAACGAAUAUUAGUGGAACGCAUUCUUAUACGAAAGUGAGUGAGUAGCCUUCGUUCGCACAAAUUUUCUUUCGAGAUCGUGGAACAGGCUGUUAUUCAUAACUGGGCUACACACUUAAAUUAUUGAGACAAUUAAAAUUUUAUUUUGGUACCAAACAGUUUAUAUAGAAUUAUCAUAGGUGGUAGAUUCAGAUGGACGGAAAUGUACUAAAUGUUCAGACCUUCAAGCUUUUAUAUAUUAUUUUUUUCCUUUUUCGAAAAAAUAAUGGAAAAAUGUUUACCUUUCACACCAAAAAGUCUUUAAAAUCUUUAAUUUUAAUUUUUUUAUUUUGUCACAAGGACUUUAUUGUUCAUUAAUACAUUAUAUAAUUAUAUUAUUUUACGAAGCCAGUAAAAUGGUUGUCGUUAACAAUUUUAUUUGUGUAUAUGUAUGUACAGAUUUGAUCUUACCCAUUGCUAUAGAAAUUAUUUAAUACCACAUUAUUUAAUUACUUUGCAAAAAAUUUAAACCGCAAACGCUGAUUUUCUUGCUUUUCCGUAAUGCAAUACAUGCCAACACAGGGAAACCGCUAAUUACGUCGAAUUAAAAAGAAAUUUAUCAUCUUCCAAUAUUUUCAGGGCUGUCAGAAGAAUGUCCAACAUUUUCCGAGUACUUUUGCAGCACCACAAAUGAGUUUAUGUACAGCAACCUGCAGAAUAUUAUGACGUUAAGAGACGCUUUAAAAGGCAAAGCCCGAGAGACAGUUGAACUUUUAUUGGGAAGCUCUGCCAAGCAGCUCAUUACCUAAUGACGAUUUGAAUGUCCUAAUAAAUUUCGCCAUGAAAUAUAGCAUAAUUUUUAAAACAAAAACGCAGGAGGAGAACUUACUUAACACAACCUAUCUUCACUGAGUGAACUCAUGGCAAAAUUACCAAUAAACCGACAAAUGGGAUGGUUUCACCCCAUGUCUUUAUUUAAAUGAAUCGCCUUCUAUUUUAGAUUUCAGGGCAUGGUUGCAAACAUUACGACGAGUUGCUAACACUAAUCGCCGCCAACCAACACAGCCCAGCCACAAUAAUGCUUGUGUCGCCAUCAAUAAUUGUGUUAUGUGCGACGGGGUCUGUAGGUCAAUUACAAAAUAUGACGGUGCAAAUGUAACAAUGCUAGACAGGGGAAUUGCCAAAGACCUGAAACUCAACGGGAACAAGACACAAUUAUCCCUACAGUGGUUAAAUAAGCAUUCAAUGACGGAAGAUUCUGAAGUAGUGGAUCUAAUAAU